ACCUACGGGAGGCAGCAGUGAGGAAUAUUGGUCAAUGGGAGGAAUCCUGAACCAGCCAUGCCGCGUGCAGGACGACGGCUCUACGAGUUGUAAACUGCUUUUGUACCGGGGUAAAAUGCCUUACGAGUAGGGUUUUGAAAGUACGGUACGAAUAAGGAUCGGCUAACUCCGUGCCAGCAGCCGCGGUAAUACGUAUGGUGCAAGCGUUAUCCGGAUUUACUGGGUGUAAAGGGAGCGCAGGCGGCGCGUUAAGCCUGGUGUGAAAGCCCGCGGCCCAACCGCGGGACUGCAUUGGGAACUGGCGC
This 305-nucleotide ribosomal RNA is filed under the name uncultured bacterium. RNAcentral's name for it is "bacterial SSU rRNA". It matches the Rfam family "Bacterial small subunit ribosomal RNA", at positions 337 to 639 of the family's 1533-position model. The record is from RNAcentral.